This 276-nucleotide ribosomal RNA is filed under the name Triticum aestivum (bread wheat). RNAcentral's name for it is "partial small subunit ribosomal RNA". The record is from RNAcentral. Lineage: Eukaryota; Viridiplantae; Streptophyta; Magnoliopsida; Poales; Poaceae.
AUGCUAUUUGCAACUUUAGAACAUAUACUAACUCAUAUCUCUUUCUCAACGAUUUCAAUUGUGAUUACAAUUCAUUUGAUAACCUUAUUAGUUCGUGAACUUGAAGGAUUACGUGAUUCGUCAGAAAAAGGAAUGAUAGUUACUUUUUCCUCUAUAACAGGAUUCUUAGUUUCUCGUUGGGCUUCCUCGGGACAUUUUCCAUUAAGUAAUUUAUAUGAGUCAUUGAUCUUCCUUUCAUGGGCCCUGUAUAGUCUUCAUACCAUUCCUAAAAUAUAG